GAUGAACGCUAGCUACAGGCUUAACACAUGCAAGUCGAGGGGAAACGACAUCGAAAGCUUGCUUUUGAUGGGCGUCGACCGGCGCACGGGUGAGUAACGCGUAUCCAACCUGCCCAUCACUUGGGAAUAACCUUGCGAAAGUAAGACUAAUACCCAAUGAUAUCCCACGAAGGCAUCGGAAGGGGAUUAAAGAUUUAUCGGUGAUGGAUGGGGAUGCGUCUGAUUAGCUUGUUGGCGGGGUAACGGCCCACCAAGGCAACGAUCAGUAGGCGUUCUGAGAGGAAGGACCCCCACAUUGGAACUGAGACACGGCCCAAACUCCUACGGGAGGCAGCAGUGAGGAAUAUUGGUCAAUGGGCGAGAGCCUGAACCAGCCAAGUAGCGUGCAGGAAGACGGCCCUAUGGGUUUUAACCUGCUUUGAUAAGGGAAUAAAGUGGGUGACGUGUGACUUUUUGCAUGUACCGUAGGAAUAAGGACCGGCUACUUCCGU
This 491-nucleotide ribosomal RNA is filed under the name uncultured bacterium. Its description in RNAcentral is "partial 16S ribosomal RNA". It matches the Rfam family "Bacterial small subunit ribosomal RNA", at positions 28 to 506 of the family's 1533-position model. The record is from RNAcentral.